GAUGAAACUUUAACAGAACCCUUCGGGGCGAAGAUAAAGUGGAUUAGCGGCGGACGGGUGAGUAACACGUGAGUAACCUGCCUUAGACAUUGGGAUAGCCUCGGGAAACCGGGAUUAAUACCAAAUAAAAUCAUAAUGACACAUGUCAUAACGAUCAAAACUCCGGUGGUCUAAGAUGGACUCGCGUCCCAUUAGCUAGUUGGUAGAGUAAAAGCCUACCAAGGCGACGAUGGGUAGCCGGCCUGAGAGGGUGAACGGCCACAUUGGAACUGAGAAACGGUCCAAACUCCUACGGGAGGCAGCAGUGGGGAAUAUUGCACAAUGGAGGGAACUCUGAUGCAGCGACGCCGCGUGAACGAAGAAGGCUUUCGAGUCGUAAAGUUCUUUUAUAUGGGAAGAUAAUGACGGUACCAUAAGAAAAAGCCCCGGCUAACUACGUGCCAGCAGCCGCGGUAAUACGUAGGGGGCUAGCGUUGUCCGGAAUCACUGGGCGUAAAGGGUUCGCAGGCGGAAAUGCAAGUCAGAUGUAAAAGGCAGUAGCUUAACUACUGUAAGCAUUUGAAACUGCAUAUCUUGAGAAGAGUAGAGGUAAGUGGAAUUUUUAGUGUAGCGGUGAAAUGCGUAGAUAUUAAAAAGAAUACCGGUGGCGAAGGCGACUUACUGGGCUCAUUCUGACGCUGAGGAACGAAAG
Molecule: ribosomal RNA, 691 nt
Filed under: uncultured Eubacteriales bacterium
Lineage: Bacteria; Bacillati; Bacillota; Clostridia; Eubacteriales
Description: bacterial SSU rRNA
Rfam family: Bacterial small subunit ribosomal RNA
Source: RNAcentral